Molecule: ribosomal RNA, 497 nt
Filed under: uncultured bacterium
Lineage: Bacteria
Description: partial 16S ribosomal RNA
Rfam family: Bacterial small subunit ribosomal RNA
Source: RNAcentral
GAUGAACGCUGGCGGCGUGCCUAAUACAUGCAAGUCGAGCGAACAGAUGAGGAGCUUGCUCCUCUGACGUUAGCGGCGGACGGGUGAGUAACACGUGGAUAACCUACCUAUAAGACUGGGAUAACUUCGGGAAACCGGUGCUAAUACCGGAUAAUAUAUUGAACCGCAUGGUUCAAUAGUGAAAGACGGUUUUGCUGUCACUUAUAGAUGGAUCCGCGCCGCAUUAGCUAGUUGGUAAGGUAACGGCUUACCAAGGCAACGAUGCGUAGCCGACCUGAGAGGGUGAUCGGCCACACUGGAACUGAGACACGGUCCAGACUCCUACGGGAGGCAGCAGUAGGGAAUCUUCCGCAAUGGGCGAAAGCCUGACGGAGCAACGCCGCGUGAGUGAUGAAGGUCUUCGGAUCGUAAAAUUCUGUUAUUAGGGAAGAACAAAUGUGUAAGUAACUAUGCACGUCUUGACGGUACCUAAUCAGAAAGCCACGGCUAACUACGUG